GUGCCAGCAGCCGCGGUAAUACGUAGGGGGCGAGCGUUGUCCGGAUUUAUUGGGCGUAAAGAGCGCGUAGGCGGCCACCCAAGUCGAUCGUGAAAGCUCGGGGCUCAACCCCGAGAUUGCGGUCGAUACUGUGUGGCUAGAGGCUGGUAGGGGGGUGUGGAAUUCCCGGUGUAGCGGUGGAAUGCGCAGAUAUCGGGAGGAACACCGGUGGCGAAGGCGGCACCCUGGGCCAGUCCUGACGCUGAGGCGCGAAAGCGUGGGGAGCAAACAGGAUUAGAUACCCUGGUAGUCC
RNAcentral lists this ribosomal RNA (292 nucleotides) under uncultured bacterium. RNAcentral's name for it is "partial 16S ribosomal RNA". It matches the Rfam family "Bacterial small subunit ribosomal RNA", at positions 505 to 796 of the family's 1533-position model. The record is from RNAcentral.